This 1430-nucleotide ribosomal RNA is filed under the name uncultured organism. RNAcentral describes it as "16S ribosomal RNA". It matches the Rfam family "Bacterial small subunit ribosomal RNA". The record is from RNAcentral.
GCGGCGUGCUUAACACAUGCAAGUCGAACGGAAAGGCCCUGCUUUUGUGGGGUGCUCGAGUGCCGAACGGGUGAGUAACACGUGAGUAACCUGCCCUUGACUUUGGGAUAACUUCAGGAAACUGGGGCUAAUACCGGAUAGGAGCUCCUGCUGCAUGGUGGGGGUUGGAAAGUUUCGGCGGUUGGGGAUGGACUCGCGGCUUAUCAGCUUGUUGGUGGGGUAGUGGCUUACCAAGGCUUUGACGGGUAGCCGGCCUGAGAGGGUGACCGGCCACAUUGGGACUGAGAUACGGCCCAGACUCCUACGGGAGGCAGCAGUGGGGAAUAUUGCACAAUGGGCGGAAGCCUGAUGCAGCAACGCCGCGUGCGGGAUGACGGCCUUCGGGUUGUAAACCGCUUUCGCCUGUGACGAAGCGUGAGUGACGGUAAUGGGUAAAGAAGCACCGGCUAACUACGUGCCAGCAGCCGCGGUGAUACGUAGGGUGCGAGCGUUGUCCGGAUUUAUUGGGCGUAAAGGGCUCGUAGGUGGUUGAUCGCGUCGGAAGUGUAAUCUUGGGGCUUAACCCUGAGCGUGCUUUCGAUACGGGUUGACUUGAGGAAGGUAGGGGAGAAUGGAAUUCCUGGUGGAGCGGUGGAAUGCGCAGAUAUCAGGAGGAACACCAGUGGCGAAGGCGGUUCUCUGGGCCUUUCCUGACGCUGAGGAGCGAAAGCGUGGGGAGCGAACAGGCUUAGAUACCCUGGUAGUCCACGCUGUAAACGGUGGGUACUAGGUGUGGGGUCCAUUCCACGGGUUCCGUGCCGUAGCUAACGCUUUAAGUACCCCGCCUGGGGAGUACGGCCGCAAGGCUAAAACUCAAAGGAAUUGACGGGGCCCCGCACAAGCGGCGGAGCAUGCGGAUUAAUUCGAUGCAACGCGUAGAACCUUACCUGGGUUUGACAUGGAUCGGGAGUGCUCAGAGAUGGGUGUGCCUCUUUUGGGGUCGGUUCACAGGUGGUGCAUGGCUGUCGUCAGCUCGUGUCGUGAGAUGUUGGGUUAAGUCCCGCAACGAGCGCAACCCUUGUUCACUGUUGCCAGCACGUUAUGGUGGGGACUCAGUGGAGACCGCCGGGGUCAACUCGGAGGAAGGUGGGGAUGACGUCAAGUCAUCAUGCCCCUUAUGUCCAGGGCUUCACGCAUGCUACAAUGGCUGGUACAGAGAGUGGCGAGCCUGUGAGGGUGAGCGAAUCUCGGAAAGCCGGUCUCAGUUCGGAUUGGGGUCUGCAACUCGACCUCAUGAAGUCGGAGUCGCUAGUAAUCGCAGAUCGGCAACGCUGCGGUGAAUACGUUCCCGGGGCUUGUACACACCGCCCGUCAAGUCAUGAAAGUUGGUAACACCCGAAGCCGGUGGCCUAACCGUUGUGGGGGAGCCGUCGAAGGUGGGACUGGUGAUU